This is a long non-coding RNA of Pongo pygmaeus (Bornean orangutan), 431 nucleotides long. RefSeq lists it as uncharacterized. The transcript has 3 exons. The record is from RefSeq and is a predicted model, not a curated record. NCBI's taxonomy places the organism in Eukaryota, Metazoa, Chordata, Mammalia, Primates, Hominidae.
GGCCUUUGUUAAGGAGAAUUCACUGUGUGUUUCACAGUGGUUACUCUUCCCUCCCUGUGCCAGAGCCAGGAGAUCUUUUUGGUUCAUCCUGAGAAUCUUGUGGAGUUGCUGGAAGUAAGACUCAGAAGCACAUCGGACCCCUAAGACUGUGACCCCCAGGAGUUUCUCAUUCUCUUAUUAGUUCACAUUCACCUCCAGAAAUUCAUCAAAAUUAUCAUUUUCCUGUUUUUCCCAGUUGUUGAAUCCAGCAGCUUCUGCUUCAGAGCUUAAAGUUUUGGCUUGUGUUACUUCCUUGGGGAGAUCUUGCUGGACCACAUCAGGAAGAGGAGGGGUGUGUCCCCACAGCACUGUGUACACGGAAAUGCAGAUGAUAACUCCUGCCUCCAAGGCCCCUUUCUGAGAUGAUUCUGAGACGACGCAUAUAAAUGGGC